This 484-nucleotide ribosomal RNA is filed under the name uncultured bacterium. RNAcentral's name for it is "partial 16S ribosomal RNA". It matches the Rfam family "Bacterial small subunit ribosomal RNA", at positions 30 to 507 of the family's 1533-position model. The record is from RNAcentral.
AUUGAACGCUGGCGGAAUGCUUUACACAUGCAAGUCGAACGGCAGCACGGGGGCAACCCUGGUGGCGAGUGGCGAACGGGUGAGUAAUACAUCGGAACGUGCCCGGUCGUGGGGGAUAACGUAGCGAAAGUUACGCUAAUACCGCAUACGAUCUGAGGAUGAAAGCGGGGGACCUUCGGGCCUCGCGCGAUCGGAGCGGCCGAUGUCAGAUUAGGUAGUUGGUGGGGUAAAGGCCUACCAAGCCGACGAUCUGUAGCUGGUCUGAGAGGACGACCAGCCACACUGGGACUGCGACACGGCCCAGACUCCUACGGGAGGCAGCAGUGGGGAAUUUUGGACAAUGGGCGCAAGCCUGAUCCAGCCAUUCCGCGUGCAGGACGAAGGCCUUCGGGUUGUAAACUGCUUUUGUAUGGAACGAAAAGGCUCUGGCUAAUACCUGGGGCUCAUGACGGUACCGUAAGAAUAAGCACCGGCUAACUACGUG